GGCAAAAAUCCUUAAAAUCAAUAUGCUAACUAACCCGGAUAGUAAUGUUAGCUAACGUUAGAUAUCUACUUUACGUUUCUGCUUACUUGUUCACUCUUUUUUCCGAAAUGGUGUUUUGCAUGAGUGGGCGGCUUCCUAGCCUAGUACUGCCAGCAGGCUACUUAGCUACCUGCAACAAAGCUAGCUAACGCUGCUAGCUACCGUCAAAUACUAGCUAGCAAGCUAGCUGUAAAGCUGAUUCGCUUAUUAGUUACCUUUAGCCGUUAGUGCGCUGGUUAGCUGACACCAGCAACAACGGGAAGUACGAACAAUUCUGUAAGUCAGACGCCCGCCGUUUUGUUGACCGAAAACUGAAACUAACGUUUCCAGAAGGACAGACAAAUUAUGAGCAGUGUCAGUGACAGCUUAUUCUACAACGCUGACAGGUCAACAACCUAGGAACUACAAAACGACAUACGAGGAAGACAAUAUGAGUCGGAGACUUCCGGUUUCGAAACUGCGUCUCAAUUCAGGAGCUGCAGCCUUCGGAGGCUGCAUUUGUAGACCGAUUACGUCACAGCGGCCGCGACAGGGGUGUCCCUUUUCGGCGACUCCUUCAAAUGCAGCCGACAAAAUGCAACCUUCUUCUGCCGAAUUUGGAGGAUACAUCUGAUGUAUCCUUCACCGCCGCAGGUAUCCCAAGAUUCAUUGCGCGCCCAGAGAAGUUUUUAUUCCGACAAGAAAUGGCGCCCCUCGACCCAGCAGUAACGGCAAAUGGAUAUACUUUUAAAUGGAGAAGGAGAGGAGAGCAGGGGGAGGAUGGACAGACUCUUCUCUCUGCUGGAGAAACUUGUUGACAAAUGAAACUUGUUGGUAAAUUAAUUGAAAUAAAUAAUAUAUAUAAUGAUGAAUAUAUUGUGUAUUUAAUUUACAUGAACUAUAAAUGAAAGUAAUGAUGACGUAAUGGUGACGUACCAGGAAGUCCCCCGUAGACCGGUCCGUCUCAUUUCGUAGACCGUUCGGUUCAGCCUUCGCGGUCUACGGAGGACCCGGCCUCUAAAGACCGCGAAGGCUGCUUCCUCCGAAGGCUGCAGUCCCUGAAUUGAGACACAGCAGGCAAAAUGACCAUAUAGUACCCGUCCCGUAUUGAUAAAUAAAAUGCACUUGAUGAAAACGAGAAGCGAAUGUCCUGUAUUUUCAUGCACAUCCUAUUCUAAUGCAUACACUACACCAGGGGUUUCAAAGUCUGAGACUGUCAGUAUUUCUACAUGCAGUCUCAAUUCCUGGAUUCCUUAUGGAAUCAUGAUUUUGUUUUUUUGAUCCCA
RNAcentral lists this long non-coding RNA (1304 nucleotides) under Cottoperca gobio. Its description in RNAcentral is "lncRNA (ENSCGOG00000012297.1)". The record is from RNAcentral. Lineage: Eukaryota; Metazoa; Chordata; Actinopteri; Perciformes; Bovichtidae.